Long non-coding RNA from Sinocyclocheilus grahami, 1668 nucleotides. Ensembl annotates it as cyclic AMP receptor-like protein A. The record is from Ensembl. Lineage: Eukaryota; Metazoa; Chordata; Actinopteri; Cypriniformes; Cyprinidae.
AUUGGCAAUGAGUUUCUGUGAAGCGGAGGCGUCACCGCGUUUCGUCUCGCUGUCUUGUUUGUCCCUCUGCGCACUCCUUACGUGUCAAUGUGGCUGUGUUGUUCUCAUGAUGUGUGCACUCCACAUCAAACUCUUAGUUAAUAAAAAGAAAGAAUAAUUAUGGGAGAUGAGCAUCCACUUCAGGGUAACAACACUAGCAGCUCCCGCGGUACUUUCUGCAACGCAGUGCCCGAUGAUUAUCAAUGUGAUGUGAUUCUUAAGGUGAAAAGAGCCACAGGGACAUUUUCACUAGUGGCAUGCCUUUUCAUGCUGUUUGCAAUAUGGCUGUUCCGCCGAUAUAACUCUUUGGCUCAGAAAAUGAUAUUCAAUCUGACAGUAGCUGCAGCUUUUGACAGUGUUGCUUAUGUUAUGGGAGAGUCUCAUGCAGAGGGGUCUCUGUGUAAUUUUCAAGCCUGGUGGCUCACAUAUUUUGACUGGACCGCACUGAUGUGGGUUUGUCUUAUUACAUUUAAUCUGUACCUGAACCUGGUGAGAGAAAUCAGAACUGAACCUUAUGAAAUACCGUAUCAUUUGGUGGCAUGGGGGGUUCCUCUGCUCAUGUCCACCCUCCCCCUGAUGGCUGGAUACUACGGCCCCGCUGGAGCCUGGUGUUGGAUCACAGAUAAUCAUGUCGGGUGGAGGUUUGGCAUAUGGUACAUUCCUCUGUUUAGCCUGAUUAUCCUCAUGACCUGCUGUUAUGCUCGAAUCAUCUGUGUGGCCAACGAGAGGAUGCGUUCCUGGUUAGGCACCUUUAACCCAGAAAGAGAGAGGAGGAAGAUCUCUCUAGCUGAAGAGAUCAGACCGUUGAAGUGGUAUCCCUCUGUCUAUCUGCUCGUCUCUAUCUUCCCUCUCAUAAAUCGACUUCAUAAUGCUGCUUACCCAGAGGGCCCUGUGUUUUCUCUGACGUUAUUGCAUGUGCUCAGUGCACCCUUGCAUGGGCUUGCAAAUGCUCUUGUCUUCGGUAAGGACACCUGGAGUCAGCUGAGUACAACAGGAAUAAAGAUGGCUGUCCAGUCUCGGCUAUGUGACAGCACAAUGAUUGGAGAGUACCAUGCUGCAAAUGUAAGAUACACACAUGACCUCGAUACACACUCCGAUUCCGAUGAUGAGGACAACAACAUCCUAUUUUACAGCCCGGACAUGAUCUUAAAAGAUAGGGGACCCUGGGAGAAUGUUUAGAAAGUGUGUGUGUGUGCGCGCACAUAUUUUUACAUUCUUAACCUUUAAAGAAUUUCUAUCAGUGUUUCCGUGUUGCAGCUUUCAUGUUGACACUUUAAUUAUAGCAUGUAUUAUUAUAGUUGGAAAACAGAAAAGAAAAUGGUUGAUAGUAUGUCUUCCUUUGCCAUUAAUGAUGGGAAGAAGCAUAAGAUUUUUUUGUACUGUAUUAAUGUGGAAAAGCUUUCAAUCAAGCUGUUUACCGCCUCAACAUAAUGUUUGUUGUAUAUAAUGGAAAUAAAGACUGCCUUUUCUAUUUCAUUCAGCUGAGUAUUUCAGACAUAUACUUUGAAAACAUUUGAGCAUGUUUUACUAUUAUAUUUAUGAAAAUGUACGCUAUAUUUUUGUAUUGCUUGCAGAUUCAACAAAUUUUAAAUACAAAUCUAGUAACAUUUAUUUUGUGUUUGUGUCUUG